RNAcentral lists this long non-coding RNA (1145 nucleotides) under Homo sapiens (human). RNAcentral's name for it is "long intergenic non-protein coding RNA 1500". The record is from RNAcentral. Lineage: Eukaryota; Metazoa; Chordata; Mammalia; Primates; Hominidae.
GUAGCGCUGCCUGCAAACCAGCACCAAGGCUGCAAACGAAGCCAGAAAGAUGGUGGCCAGCACACCUAUGGCAACUAUCACCACGGUCUCCAUGCUUCCGGGGAGCUCCUGACUCAGUCCCGUUCACAUCGUCCUCAUGGGCUAAGGCUGCUGGAAGUGGCAAACUGGGGGAAGAGGAUGGCAGGAGCUAGGUUCCUCCACGACACCUCCAGAGACCUGAGGGCCUCAAGCUGCAGCUCCGGGGCACAUCCCGCUGCGCUCCCACGACGGCCCCGCGGAUGGCAAAGUCAGCGGCAUCGCCUAUGCAGGCAAUCAAAGGAUGUUGAUGGAUAAGUGUUUCAGGCAGAAUAAUGGCCCUCAAAGAUGUUGACACCAGAAUCUUCAGAACCUUUGCAUAUGUUACCUAACAUGACAAAAGGGACUUUGCUGAUGUGAUUAAGGUUAAGAACUUUGAGAAGGGAAGAUUAUCCUGGAUUAUACAGGUCGACGUUUAUUUCUUUCUGAACUUUCCUGGAGGAUCAUCGGCCAUACUCCAGCAGAAGGGUGGAUUUGAAAAAAUAACGUUUCCACGGCAACAGUGGCAGCAAUUCAAAGGAAGACGUUGGAGAAUUCACAUGCUAUUUUAGCUGGCUCUGUGAUUGCAAUCACACAAAUCAUUACAUUCCAGCGAGAUCCCAUCAACAGAAGGUUUUUCCAUUUCAGUCUGUCAAGGAGAUACUCCCAAAGUCCCAUCCAGUUAUAUCAUCAGGUUGAAAUUCCAGGAUCUCUUGGUGAUGGGUAGUUAUCUCCAAGUGUGGCUCCUGGGGUCAGAUCACCUACAGUCUAAGAGAAGGUUCUUUUUCUCCGCCAAUGGUGAUAGAUUUGGCACCAAAAAAAGAAGAGAAGAAACAUGACAGUCAUUGUUUCCACAGUGAUUUUAGGUUGUUUUAUUAAAGUUCAUUGCUGAGAACACAAAGGCUGAUGCCACAGAGGGGAAAACGCCAGAUCCACCACCGAACAGCUAAAGCCAUAUGCGCCUGCUCCAUGAAUGCCCAUUUUUCAUCUUUAGUGGGCUUCAAAGUUAAAUAGCACAGACAACACAAAGGAAAAUAUGACCGCAGCAAAAGACAGAAACUACACUGUGGCUACAAUUAAAUCUUCAUACC